Molecule: transfer RNA, 77 nt
Filed under: Thermoleophilia bacterium
Lineage: Bacteria; Bacillati; Actinomycetota; Thermoleophilia
Description: tRNA-Met
Rfam family: tRNA
About the family: Transfer RNA (tRNA) molecules are approximately 80 nucleotides in length. Their secondary structure includes four short double-helical elements and three loops (D, anti-codon, and T loops). Further hydrogen bonds mediate the characteristic L-shaped molecular structure. tRNAs have two regions of fundamental functional importance: the anti-codon, which is responsible for specific mRNA codon recognition, and the 3' end, to which the tRNAs corresponding amino acid is attached (by aminoacyl-tRNA synthetases). tRNAs cope with the degeneracy of the genetic code in two manners: having more than one tRNA (with a specific anti-codon) for a particular amino acid; and 'wobble' base-pairing, i.e. permitting non-standard base-pairing at the 3rd anti-codon position.
Source: RNAcentral
CGCGGGGUGGAGCAGUCUGGUAGCUCGUCGGGCUCAUAACCCGAAGGUCGUAGAGUUAAGAACUGCGCCCGCAACCA